RNAcentral lists this transfer RNA (74 nucleotides) under Candidatus Thorarchaeota archaeon. Its description in RNAcentral is "tRNA-Met". It matches the Rfam family "tRNA". From Rfam's summary of the family: Transfer RNA (tRNA) molecules are approximately 80 nucleotides in length. Their secondary structure includes four short double-helical elements and three loops (D, anti-codon, and T loops). Further hydrogen bonds mediate the characteristic L-shaped molecular structure. tRNAs have two regions of fundamental functional importance: the anti-codon, which is responsible for specific mRNA codon recognition, and the 3' end, to which the tRNAs corresponding amino acid is attached (by aminoacyl-tRNA synthetases). tRNAs cope with the degeneracy of the genetic code in two manners: having more than one tRNA (with a specific anti-codon) for a particular amino acid; and 'wobble' base-pairing, i.e. permitting non-standard base-pairing at the 3rd anti-codon position. The record is from RNAcentral. Lineage: Archaea; Promethearchaeati; Candidatus Thorarchaeota.
GGGACUCUAGCUCAAGUGGUCAGAGCCCCCGGCUCAUAACCGGGUUGUUCUCGGUUCGAACCCGAGGGGUCCCA